CAGCUGCAGGGCCUCAAGUUGUUCUAGAGCUGGGCUGGCAGGGCCCUUGGCUGAGGGAGUAUAGCCUGGCACUGGCAUCUUGGCCUGCAGCCAAGUUUCCUGUCUGCCCAGGCAGCACGACCCUUGGGAUCAGGCAGAGCUGUGCCUCUCCCCUCUUGACCUUGGAAGAUCCUGCCCUCACACACGAUUGUCCAGUGUCGUGAAGGCCGGUCUAAUUGAAGCCAACGGAGAACUCAAGGUCUUCAUAGACCAGAACCUUAGUCCCGGAAAAGGUAAGGGCACCUGUUCUGGACACACUUGUGUUGAUGAAUGCGUGAAGCUUCACGUGUUUAUGAAGCUGUUGACGUUGAAGCCUCUUGCUAAUGAUGGCAUCUCCUGCACGGGCACCUUUGUGCUCUGAGAAUCCAGGAGGGUGGGCGUAGGGGCCUUCUAAUAUUUAGAAACAGCCUGCACACCACACCAGAAGCUUUGUGGAUUUUGAAUUCUAAGGUGUGUAUACUAUUUGCAAACAUUUAGAAAAAGGUAGAAUAAUGUAAAGAAGAAAUAAAGACAAUUUGUUUUCCCGCCACCCAAAGAUAAUGACGUCUCAGCAGUGGUGUGGGCUCUUCCAGAAGCCAGACUCACCUGUGCU
This 631-nucleotide long non-coding RNA is filed under the name Macaca mulatta (Rhesus monkey). RNAcentral's name for it is "lncRNA (ENSMMUG00000054740.1)". The record is from RNAcentral. Lineage: Eukaryota; Metazoa; Chordata; Mammalia; Primates; Cercopithecidae.